This is a long non-coding RNA of Glossina fuscipes, 1355 nucleotides long. RefSeq lists it as uncharacterized. The record is from RefSeq and is a predicted model, not a curated record. Lineage: Eukaryota; Metazoa; Arthropoda; Insecta; Diptera; Glossinidae. The transcript is spliced from 2 exons.
AAUACAAAAGCCACAUUCAAAUACAGCCAAAACUUAAGACUUUGGCGUACUCGCUUAUCUUUAUAAACAUUUUUUUAAAGUACAUUAAUAUUAUUUGCGCAGUCAAAAAUACAUACUAUAUAUGGGUAAUACAUAUACAAAUACAAAGUUGAACCCAUUUAUGUAAUCACGGUAGCAUCAACGAUAGUUACAGGGAAUCUUAAUCAAUUGACUUGAUACGGUGCGAGUGGAUAGCACUUAGCAGAUUAGUCGAAUGAUUUCGCAAAGACCUCGCGACUGAAGUGUGUGGUCUUAAAUUAAAGUUUUUUUCAUUCUGGCACUCAAAAUUAUUAAAAUCCAACAGAAAUACCCACACAAUUUUUAUUGUACAGUAUUGUACAGCCACACAGUUGUAUGGCAGCUCUAAUUGGUAACUCGUGAGAUCAAGUAUAAUCAAAUUAGUGCUCAAAACAUUGAAAAUAAUAAAAGACUUGUGCAAUUUUCAUAAAAAUUGCAUAAUAACCCUGCAAUAACCUCUGCUCAUUCAUUCAUGUGUGCGUUAUAUAAAAUAGAUAAUAGCGAAUUUUUCACCUGUUAUUACAAGAAAUGAGUAUCUUUAUAAAACCAUGAAAGAUGGUCACAUAAAAAUAUUGAAAUCCAUUAAUUCGCCCGAGAAGUUAGUAAACCAUUUGCGUGAUAAAGAUGUUCAAUUUUACACCUACCAAAUGAAUCAGAAAAUACUACUAUUAAACAACGUCCAGUUGGUAACAUCAAAGUCGGUGUUGAAAAGUUGGAGCGCUAUACCUACAUUGUAUAUCGUAAAUUUACUAAAAACCCAAUGAAAAUAUUCUAGACAGAAUAAAACGAUGUACGACCUGAAACACUUCGAUCAUGUAGUUGGAGUUGGAGCUGCUUUAAAAACCAGAGACAUCCUCCUGAGUGUCAAGGUUUUCAACACAAGAGCUUAUUGCACAAAGCAAGUCAAAUGUGUUAAAUAUGGCUUAAAUUAUUUAAUUAAAUACUACAAUAAAAGUAACCCACACAAAAUAUGUCAAUCGGUUACAAAAUCACCUGGGCAAUUAUAAACGUUGUUCCAUACACCAAUAGCUUCUUAAAAGAAACUUCAAACUUCUACAUCACCCAGUUCAGGGCAGAAUAAGCGUGACAAUAAUUAUUCCUUCAAACAAGAAGGCCCUUUGCUGAAUAGGCAACUCCCAAUCACACAUAAUACUGAUAUGGUUAAUGGUAAUAAUAGUCUUCAUAAUUGCCACUACACCGAUAGAGUGAAAAAUACAAAUCCGUCUUCAAAAAUUGCAAUUUUGAUUAAAAAGCAGAACAAGUCAUUAGCCGAAUUUAAACUACAAAAUAACUUAAUU